ACGUAGGUGGCGAGCGUUAUCCGGAUUUACUGGGCGUAAAGCGUGUGUAGGCGGGCUGUCAAGUGGUGUAUGAAAUCGCUCGGCUUAACCGGGCGCGGUUAUGCCAGACUGACAGUCUGGAGUGCGGGAGAGGGGCGUGGAAUUCCGCGUGUAGCAGUGAAAUGCGUAGAUAUGCGGAGGAACACCGAUGGCGAAGGCAAUCCCCUGGACCUGUACUGACGCUCAUGCACGAAAGCGUGGGGAGCAAACAGGA
This 253-nucleotide ribosomal RNA is filed under the name uncultured prokaryote. Its description in RNAcentral is "partial 16S ribosomal RNA". It matches the Rfam family "Bacterial small subunit ribosomal RNA", at positions 525 to 777 of the family's 1533-position model. The record is from RNAcentral.